AACUGACACCAAUCUGACAUUUUCUCGUUGCCACCCGUAGUGUACAGCUUUUUUACAUCUUUGGUUUUCAUUAUUUUCGCAGAUUUGCAAUAAACUAAAACGUCCUUUUUUGCAGGAAACAAGGCAAUACAAAAUAAGGGGAAAUUUCGUUACCAAAAAUAAUAAGAAAUAAAAUCGUCAAAAGUGUGAAAGCUAAACGUAUCAUAAAAUGUGUACUAGGAGCAAAGCUUUGAAGCAAUUGGAGGAACAUAUCGAGUCAAACACAUACAAGUAAAAUGCAAAAUUUUGGCAGUGGGUUGUAGAAAAGUUAUAAAACGCGUUAAAACGUUCGCAAUUAAACGAGACUUCUUUGGCUGAGUGAAAAAACUUGUAUCAAAACUAGUAAUAAAGUUUCUAUUUCACGUAUCGAAAGACGGAAAAAUUGGCUACCGCUUAUACCAAAACUGGUCAUAAACGUACAUAUAUUAAGGAAUCAAAAACAAAUCCAUAUAGCGUAAACAGUUCCGGCUCAUACUUAAUUCCAGUAAACAAUCCACGAAACGCAGAGAACAGUAUCUCAGAAGCUGUACAAGCCAGAGAAAAAUCAGUGAAUAUACAUAAAAAUCUGCAACCUUAUACAUAUAUGUACAUAAACACAUUCGCUUUGAUUCAAGGACACUACGCUUACUUUCUUCUGAAGCUAUAUCGCCUGAAUAUCUCUUAAAACCUUUCGGAACAGUAAUAAUUCAAUCAUAAUUUUUUAGAACGAUUUCCAAAAUUGUUUCGUAUCAAAAUUGAAGUAGAGUAAAUUGGACUGAAAUGCGCCCGGCCAUACAACCAGGUAUACGCGUAGUACGUGGACCAAACUGGAUUUGGCAAAAUCAAGAAAUCAAAAAUCGAAUAUGGGUCAAUAAUAAUAAUUGUAC
Long non-coding RNA from Rhagoletis pomonella (apple maggot), 905 nucleotides. RefSeq lists it as uncharacterized. Lineage: Eukaryota; Metazoa; Arthropoda; Insecta; Diptera; Tephritidae. The record is from RefSeq and is a predicted model, not a curated record. The transcript has 3 exons.